CCCAAGAGAUCGGGAUAACACCUGGAAACAGAUGCUAAUACCGGAUAACAACAGAUGAUGCCUAUCAACUGUUUAAAAGAUGGUUCUGCUAUCACUCUUGGAUGGACCUGCGGUGCAUUAGCUAGUUGGUAGGGUAACGGCCUACCAAGGCGAUGAUGCAUAGCCGAGUUGAGAGACUGAUCGGCCACAUUGGGACUGAGACACGGCCCAAACUCCUACGGGAGGCAGCAGAG
RNAcentral lists this ribosomal RNA (233 nucleotides) under uncultured Lactobacillus sp. RNAcentral describes it as "partial 16S ribosomal RNA". It matches the Rfam family "Bacterial small subunit ribosomal RNA", at positions 129 to 354 of the family's 1533-position model. Lineage: Bacteria; Bacillati; Bacillota; Bacilli; Lactobacillales; Lactobacillaceae. The record is from RNAcentral.